Molecule: ribosomal RNA, 468 nt
Filed under: uncultured bacterium
Lineage: Bacteria
Description: partial 16S ribosomal RNA
Rfam family: Bacterial small subunit ribosomal RNA
Source: RNAcentral
GACGAACGCUGGCGGCGUGCUUAACACAUGCAAGUCGAACGGAAAGGCCCUGCUUUUGUGGGGUGCUCGAGUGGCGAACGGGUGAGUAACACGUGAGUAACCUGCCCUUGACUUUGGGAUAACUUCAGAAAACUGGGGCUAAUACCGGAUAGGAGCUCCUGCUGCAUGGUGGGGGUUGGAAAGUUUCGGCGGUUGGGGAUGGACUCGCGGCUUAUCAGCUUGUUGGUGGGGUAGUGGCUUACCAAGGCUUUGACGGGUAGCCGGCCUGAGAGGGUGACCGGCCACAUUGGGACUGCGAUACGGCCCAGACGCCUACGGGAGGCAGCAGUGGGGAAUAUUGCACAAUGGGCGGAAGCCUGAUGCAGCAACGCCGCGUGCGGGAUGACGGCCUUCGGGUUGUAAACCGCUUUCGCCUGUGACGAAGCGUGAGUGACGGUAAUGGGUAAAGAAGCACCGGCUAACUACGUG